This is an RNA transcript of Gorilla gorilla gorilla (western lowland gorilla), 8415 nucleotides long. It is a transcript of the gene named IQ motif containing with AAA domain 1, with no coding region annotated. NCBI's taxonomy places the organism in Eukaryota, Metazoa, Chordata, Mammalia, Primates, Hominidae. The transcript is spliced from 18 exons. The record is from RefSeq and is a predicted model, not a curated record.
UGCUAGGGCCGCGUCGCGCCCACCUGAGUGGCCGAAGUGAGGUUCGCGAGUCUCUGGGUCGCGACGGGAAAGAGUGAAGCACCUCUCUGCGCCUGCGCGCUCCGUGCCUGCGAAGCAAACCGGGCCUCACCUUUUCCUGCCCGAAGCAGAAGAUUAUCGCAGUCCUGGUUUCUCCGUCCAGAAGACCCCCCCCUCCCCCAAUCCUCUGUAGCUCCUGGUAGUGCCCUGACCCCUGCUGCCACCGUCCUUCAGAGAGCAACGGAAGAGCUUCCCGGAGGGCGAGGAAAAGAGGGAAAGUAGCCAGCAAUGUCGAACGCAAUGUAUAAUAAGAUGUGGCAUCAGACCCAAGAAGCCCUCGGUGCUUUACUCGAUAAAGAGCCUCAGAAGAUGAUUGAACCACAAAGAAAUCAGGUUUUCAUCUUUCAAACAUUAGCCACCUUCUACGUAAAGUAUGUGCAGAUCUUUAGAAACCUAGAGAAUGUCUACGACCAGUUCGUCCACCCCCAGAAACGAAUACUGAUCAGGAAAGUCCUGGACGGGGUGAUGGGCCGCAUCCUGGAGCUGAAGAACGAGAUGGUGGAGCUGGAACUCACGGAGUUCCAUUAUUUCGAUGAUAUCCUGCAGGAUCUCAAGCUGGCCCCCCAACAAUUAGAUAUUCCCAUACCCAAGUAUUUUUUGAAGGAGAAGUUGGAAGUAAUAAAAGGAAGAGAGAAAAUUCUUGCUCAAAUAUUAGCGGACAGCGGAAUAGAUACAUCUGACAUGAAAUACCCUGUAAAGAGUAUCCCUUUCGAUGAGGCUGUUAAAUUAAUCCAGGUUGCUGAGAGGGCACGGCAAGGUCGCCUAAGGGCGUUAUUCAUGAAGCAAAUCUAUCUGCAAGAAUAUAGAGCAAAGCAAUCCAAGAUGCUUGGCAAGAAAGUGACAGAUACCUGGGCUGCUGCACUCCGCAUUCAGAAGGUUUGGCGACGUUUCCAUCAAUGUAAGGAAACUGAAAAACUGAGAGAAGAGGAGAUGAUCUUCCUGGGUAUGAAUCCACCUCCUCUCUUUAAUGAAGUCAGUGCUACAGUAAUCCAGGCUGAAAAGGUGGACCGCCUGCGGAAUGAGGUGCAGAUAAAGCACGAAGAGGACUACAGGGAAGCCCUGGUUACCAUCAAGAAUGACCUAAAGUUGAUAGAAGGCGUGGAUAUCAAGGAGAACCUUCAAGACCAGAUCCGGCAUUGGUUCAUCGAAUGCAGAAAUUUAACUGGGACAUUUCCUGACUACCCUGACGUUGAAGAAGGAGGGUCAGCUAUUAUUUUUUCUGACAAGACCAUACAACAGGUUAUUGAGGAUAUCAUUGCAAACCAAGAGGAAGAAGAAAAAAACAAAAAGAAGAAGAAGAAAAAGGAAAAACAACCCAAGAAAGCCAAAAAACAAAAGAAAGGAACAAAGGAGAAAAAUAAGGAAGAAGAUGAAAAAUGGAAAAUGUCACCAAGUCUUUUUCUUCCUGCAAUGAAGGAAGGAUGUAACGCAUACAAAGAAAUCUGGAUGAAAAAAGAUGAGUCUUGGAAUUUCUCUCAGGACUAUGAUCCAGAACUGAUCAAAGAGGAGAAACGGAAAGAAUUACAGUCAGAGAUCAGGAUACAGGUUGAUGAGUUGAUGAGACAGGAACUUAAAAACUUAAAGCUAGCUGUGGACAGAGAAAGGGAGCGCCCAGUGAAAGCAGGAAAGAAAAAGGACAAGAAGAAAGGAAAGAAAGGCAAAAAGAAAGAGAAAAAGGCAAAGAAGGAUAAAGAUCUGACAGCUGACAGGACCAUUGAGUCUCUGUAUAAGGAACUGGUGGAAGAAGGAUUACUGAUCCAGGCUCUGAAAGUCAACCUCUCUGAUUACAUUGGUGAGUACAGCUACCUGGGGACUACUCUUCGCCAGGUGUCCAUAGAACCCAUGCCCUCCCUCCUGGAUGUCAGACAGCUCAUCACAUUGUACGGAAUCUGGCCAUUAGGUUCUGCAGCAGUGCAUGAGAAAGCUCCUUUGGUGAAAUCGCUACUGUUAGCCGGGCCGUCUGGGGUAGGGAAGAAAAUGCUGGUCCAUGCCAUCUGCACCGAAACGGGAGCCAACCUCUUCAACUUGUCCUCCUCUAACAUUGCUGGGAAAUACCCUGGCAAAAAUGGCCUCCAAAUGAUGCUGCAUGCAGUCUUCAAGGUGGCUCGACAGCUCCAGCCCUCCGUGGUGUGGAUUGAAGACACAGAAAAAACCUUCUACAAAAAAGUUCCCAACGCAGAAAAGAUGAAUGAACCUAAACGCCUGAAAAAACACCUUCCCCAAAUCCUGAAACUCCUGAAACCAGAUGACCGGAUUCUGAUUGUGGGGACCACACGGCGUCCCUUCGAUGCUGAACUCCAAUCUUUCUGCAAAGUUUACCAGAAAAUUAUUUUGGUGCCCAGGCCAGACUAUGCUUCCAGAUACGGCAAGUACCCCCAGCCCCUUCCCAUGCAUGGUAGCUGAGGCUGGGCUGUCCACUGUGUGCUUGCCAGGAGGGCGGGCGGCCCUUGGACCCAGUGGGCGCCAGAUGAGUUGAGGGGAGCUUGCACCCGGUGGGGUGUGCGCACCUGCACCCGACACAGAGCAUGUGCUGCAGAUAUAAACCACUAGGUCACAUUCUGUUCUUAGCAUAUAUCUCUCUACCCAAGACAAAAGGAAACUGCACAAAGAUUAUGAUUUCUGGCCCUGACAGUGACAAAAGCCUUGUGGGUGCUGAUUUUUCUUGGGACGGGUAGAUUAGGAUCACUCACCUUGCACCCAUGGUGAUGAUGUCUUCCUCAUAGAGUGUAGUUUCUUUUCACCGGGUUGGGUUUUUUUUUUCUUCCUGUCUCAAAGUCCACUUGCAGAAUGAUUUACUUAAAAUGAACAUUAAAAUACAACGAGAGCUUACUUUUUCAAUUCCUUCUCCUUAAAUAGAUUCAAAAUCCACUUCUUUUGAAACAUGUUUUUUAAUGGGAAUGACACAAAAAAAGAGCCCCUGGGAGGCGAAGCAGUGGAGCGGGGAGGAGCCUGGGUCAGGGCUCUCAGGACGCCUGGCUCAGAAUCCUGGCUCUGCUCCUGCAUAGCUGGGUGACCCUGACAAGUCGGUCACCUUCUGAGCCUUCAUCUUCUCAUCUGUGAAGUAGGAGAACGGUUCACGCCACAGGGCUGCUGUGACACUCACGAGGUGUUAGCAGAGCACCUGGCCCCAUGUGGCCCCUAGAGAGAAAGGGUGUUGGCGGCAGUGGCAGUGGAGGUAGAGGAAGAGAAGAGGGUGGCGUGGGCUGGGCAGGAGGAGGGAAGGACGGGUGGCGAAUGGCAGGGGAAGCUGGGGAGAGUGCUGGCGGCCGUUCUGCUCUCUAGUGCUGUGUGAAAACCUCCCUGAAGGCUCAAACAGCACGUUAUUCCACCAUGUGCUUCCAAGGGUUCUCUGGGCAGAGCUGGGGCAUUCUCCUUAAUGUACCUCAUGAUGUGAGAGUCACAUGAAAGUUGAGGCUCCUUCGUCUGGAGACUGGACAGUGUGGAUACCCAGGAUCGCUCGCGCAUGUGACUGGAGUUGCUGCUGGCCGUCGUGGGCACUGAGCGGGGCCUAUGUCGACCGGACAGGCUGCACCUGGCCUCAGUGCAGCUUCUCAGACCUGGCAGCUGGGUGCCACGACGGGUUAUCUCAUGAGCACAUGUUUCAAGAAGUUGGAGCAGUAGCUGAAAGGAUUCUUGUGACCCAGCCUCACAAGCCACACAGAGGGACCAUCACCACCCUCUGUGGUCAAGAGGAAGGCACAGGGCCAGCCCAGAUUCGAGGGCGGCCGAGGACACAGGGUGUGAAUGCACAGGGGUGGCUCGUGGCGGGGCCACCGUAACACUGCACUGGCGGGGAGCGGUGAGGACUUGGAGGGCCUCAAAACGUCCCCCAUGAACCCUUUGCACCCGGCCAGCAUCCAAAGAAGCGAGGGAAGACAGGAUGGAGGAGUCACAGAAGAUCUUAAGGACUAGACCCAGAAGAGGCCAACAUUUCCUCCAGCCAGAUCAUGUUGGCCAGAAUGAGAAACAUGGAUGAAGGGGGCAGCGCUGUCCAGCCGAGAAAGGAGACAGCGCGAGAUGGGCGGGCACCACAGUCUCGCCGCAGCCCACACAGCCAAUGCCAGGGGUUCCAUGCCCCUGGCCUUAGCAGGACUACCCCUCUCUCCUCUCAUGCGUUCUUCUUUUCUUCCUUUUUUGUAUGGUAUCUAUAUUUUAAGCUGUGUUAAUGGAAUAAGGUAGGGUAUUAUUAAUUCAAAGGGGCUGGAGCAUUAUUCUGGACUCUGGGCAGAAUGGUUUCUAUUGUUUGACAAAACUAUAGGCCCUUUAAAAAUGAAGCUAUUGAUGGAUGGUCAGCAAUUUUGUUCUUUUGAUAAAACACCACACAUCGCUUAGGAUUCAGAUCACGCUGCAGAUUCCUACCUGAAUCUCCUCACAGCAUCGUGAUGGGAGAGGAAGGAGAGAAAGCGUCCCUCCACCUGUGGGCAAAUGAUAAAGCUGCACCAGACACUUCUCUGGGGCCCUGGGUUCUGUCCGCUGAAGCACAGCUCCUCAAUAUUUCUGUCUUGGGGAGUGAUGUGUUCAGGCCGCCAUUCUGGCCAACGUCAUCGCCCCUCAUCCAGCAUUUCCUCCAGUGACCUUGAAGUUUUCAUAGCCACAGUGGCUGGGACAUCUGUCUUACAGAAAGACUGUUCUUAUCUUUGCAGCGAUCAAAAGUAGUCUCUUCCAGUCCAUAAAGCAAGGGCUGCCAAUCCGUAACAUAGACGGUGGCUUAGUCGUCUCUCCACCCGCAAUGAAGCUCAAAGGUGUGCAGCAGUCCCCGCGGCCCCACUCCUCAAAUUCCUCCGGGCCACAUGGGGACAGACAGUGCUGAAAAGUGAAGGGUGGAUUUGUAGAGGAAACACAGCCCUCAGGUUCACCAAACAUCAUUCAAUCUCUCCUUCUUUCCCCCAAACCAAGCUGUCUCUGCAAAGAAAAUCCACCCCACAGGCUGAUGGAUGCCCUGUCUGGUCCCCAGAAAUCCCUUCGGGCUUCCUUUUCUCCACAUUCCAAGUGCCCUCCUCCUCUUGCCUCUCUCCUUGGGGUCCAUUUCACUAAUAACCCAAUUCAUCACAGGCCCACCCAGACCCAGUGUCUGGUCGGAUGGGUCCAGGGUCUGUCUUCAGACUUUUCUGCAAUUCCAGGCUUCAGAGGGUCAGAAGCUCACCCACAUCACAUUAUUCACCUCUCAGGCUUUUGGAAAACUCCAAAUAAAAAUGAAUGUUCAGAGACUGCAUCAUCUCAAGUGCCAGCCAAGACAGAAUCCGCUGGGAAUGUCGACAGCAGAUGAAGGGGAGCCAAAGGCCAAAUUCUCUUUCAUCCAAAGAAGGGAAAGAGAAUGUAGAUUGGUCUGAAGAUGUGAGGAGCCUUUUGCCUCCAAAAGAGGAAAGUAAAAUUCAGCACUUGGCCUGGAGAGCCCCUCUGCUGCCCUCAACACUCUGGGGCCCCUAACCUUGGUCUUCACCAACACAGCCAUUGCCACACCCCAAGACUGCAAUGCAUCUGUGCUCCCCACUGCACUUCUGGGCCAGAGACCCCACAGCCUCUGGGGCUCCCAUGCUCACUGCCGGCUCCAGUCUCCACCCAGCCCACCACGCUGUGCCUCCCUCCACACCUGACACCACCGUGGGCCCCAGAGCAGCUAUUUAAGGGCCAAGAAACCAUGAGUGGGUGGUUGUGUAAAAGCAAUAGAAGCGAUUCUUUGAAAGACCAACAGCUCGAGUUCAUCAGCUGCAGGAAGGAAGCCAAGCCUGGUUUUGCAUCCCCUUCUCUGGAUCUUCAGAUGAGCGGGCAGGUGGGCAGGUCCCACCACAGCUGGGACUGUCUCACAGAGCUCUCUUGCUGCAACUCCAGUAAAAAUGGUGAUCUAUGGAGAGUAACCAAUGAGUCAUGUAUUCAGGAAUCUUGACCGAAACUCUCCGUGAAUACCAAGUAUCCUACACUUUAAAUGGGCAGCAGCAGGUUUACAUGUCCGUCUGGCCCUUGUUGGUCUCACUGCAGGUCUCCAAAGCCUUGAUGCCUAAUUGUCCACAGCUCGGAGAAACUGGCAGGCCCCACGGUACAGUUCACCCUUUCCCAGUACAGUAACUGUACACCGUUACUAAUGAAUCUCUACUCAUCGAGUGAUUACUCCUGCAAGAAGGUUGGAUGAUUUGGGCAGAAAACUUCCAAGAUUAUUACUGUUGUGGCUUCACAGAGAAGCCAGGGAGAGAGUUAGUUAUUGGUUGCCAGUGAGCACGUGGCCCUCACCCCUUCCCAGUGAUGGUUCCCUUUUGCACCACAGCAGGAAUUUUGCUCAUGCGUGCCCAGAACCAAGUCCGCAAGCAUGAAACCCAGCCUGGGAUGUCAACUUCAGCUUUUGGGGCCUUACCUGUGACUCUCCCAUAAAUCAUGUUCCCUUCUCAGCUUCCAGAGUCGCCACUCAGACCCGGUGGUACUUUGUUUAGAUGUUAUAAAUUUGGACGGAAGACACAUUGGAUCUCAAGUGAAGAUGUGGGCUAGUUGUUGUUGUUGUGAUGAUCAUUUUUACCAUGGGUUAUGUUUUCUGAUCUCUAACUCUGCAACAGUUAUAUUUAGACAAGGAUAAUCUUCACCGGCUGCCAUCAAUUGCUACACAAACAGGCUUUGAAACACUCUGUAGCCUAUUUUGUGUUGUCUUUUGUAAUUGAUGUUUUAAUGAGGGUUAGGAAACUUCAGUGCAAUAUGGAAUGAAGAACAAUCAUUGUUAUUGUAAUAACAACAGUAACAUAGCCACAGAAAGUCAAGUCCCCACCAAGUGCUGGGCUGCUGCACUUCCAAGCGCUUUACAAACAUUUUUGGGCUUGUUUUUCACAGCAGCACUGAGAAGUCAAUCCUUCUAUGCCUGUUUUACAGAUAAGACUAGUUUGGGGCUCAAGCUCAAAGAAACCCACCAAGGAAGGAGCAGAGUAGAUCAGGGAUUUCAUGAUCCUUUAGGCCAGUUUGGGGUCCCUGUGGCCCUCCUUGGUUUCACUGCAGAUCUCCAAACCCUGGAUGCCUAUGCAUCCACAGCUCAGAGAAAUUGGCAGGCCCCAAGGUACAGUUCACCCUUUCCCAGCAGCUCAGCUCACCCACAGGGCCAAGGACCCCCCAAAAGAGGACAGUGGGAGUGAACUGCUGCAAUAGCUCGUGGCCCAAAAGCCAGAUUCUCCAGCUUGCUUCAUAGUUACAUUAUAGGCCAUUUUAUUCCUUUAUAGUAAGUAGAUCUUUUCAUUUUAUCAGCCAUUUUUGGAUCAGCAUACUUGUAUGAUGUAGUCAUUUAAAGUCAAAAUGGUUUAGAAAUAUUUGACCAGAUUAUCCCAGUGCUGAGACUGACAGAUGCUCUUGUAAACACCCUUCACCCUUCUCCACCGUCUCGAUAUAAUUAAAUAAGUUACAGCAAGUUUCCUUUACUUCCCUUGUGCUCCCUUUACAGAAUAGAGGUAAUUCUCCAAAUACAGAAUGAUUUUAAGGAUUGUACAGGAGUUCAUUCCAUCUCUAAAGUUAAGCAUCCAGAAUUAUUUCAUAGUUCAUUUUCACAGCAUCCCUGUGUUCAGAUUGAAAUAUCUCAUUCACUCCAGGUCCCACGAACCAGAGAACACCCAGGACUCAUCUGAAGGACUCUAGUCAACCAGUGCAUGUUUACAGUUGCUGAGGGGGAAAGAAUAAGGGUCAAAUUGCUCUAUUUAAUAAAAUGUGUAAUACAGUGUCUUCCACUGAAAGGGAACUGACCCUGGCAGUAGCUGAUGAAAACUGGAAUCUGCAUUCUGAUUCCAGAUGUAAAAAUAAUGUGAGAAAUUAACUUUAUAUCUAAAAAAAAAAGUUAAACUACUUAUCCAAAUUACUUGGGAAAUACAAUAUUCUGAUGAGAAGAGAUGCCAUUAUACACCUUCUGAAAAUUUCCAGUGUUGAAAGAUUGUCAACAUCUUUACAGGUACCACAUUAAAACUAUACUGACGGUGGUUUUGUGUUUCUCCUUGUUAAUUUGCAGGGCACUUGUGGAUCUAUAGACCUCAGGGUCAUUGAUAUGUAUGGCUUAUGGUUGAAAAUUCUCUAGAGGAAAGCAUUUAGUUACUUGGCUUCGGUUCAUUUGAGUUACAAAUAAGCUAGAGUAGACUUCUGUGUAUUCCUUUCUUGAUGAGAUGCAACUUUCAACCGAGAGGGAAACUGGCACUGAUUUCUCUGUGGUAACCCUUGUUCUCUGUGUCUUUUCUGGAUACAACAGUUCUGUGGAAGCAAAUCAUUGAACGCAAUGGAGGAGUCCUCACCAGUGCCUUGAAUGUCAGCUGCCUGGCGAAGGUCACUGACGGCUUCACCCAAGGACAUAUAAUCAAAGUGGUUAAAGACGUGCUCACAGAUCAGAGA